Molecule: unclassified non-coding RNA, 408 nt
Filed under: uncultured fungus
Lineage: Eukaryota; Fungi
Description: partial contains small subunit ribosomal RNA, internal transcribed spacer 1, and 5.8S ribosomal RNA
Rfam family: Eukaryotic small subunit ribosomal RNA (bases 1-73)
Source: RNAcentral
GCAAACUUGGUCAUUUAGAGGAAGUAAAAGUCGUAACAAGGUUUCCGUAGGUGAACCUGCGGAAGGAUCAUCACUGAUUCGCGGGGUCUGUGUUCCUGUGUGUGCUGCGUGUAUUGUAUAGCGCGCACAUACAGCGAGCCGCCCAAACCAAUCUUGUGUGCACCGUUUCACUGGUCAAAGGAUGGCGUGUGGUGGUUGUGCGUGUUGGUGGGAGUGCGUGCGUGCGCGCGCGUAUCACAGUAAUGUGUGCCUGCGCGCCGCUGCCCUCACCGACUGCACGCGCCCCGUCGUUCUAAAUUUACACAAUAAUCUCUUGGUGUUAACUUUGUCUAACGCGCAUUACUUAAAAUAACAUAUACAACUUUUAACAAUGGAUCUCUUGGCUCUCGCAUCGAUGAAGAACGCAGC